UACGGAGGGUGCAAGGCGUUAUCCGGAUUCACUGGGUUUAAAGGGUGCGUAGGUGGGCAGGUAAGUCAGUGGUGAAAUCUCCGGGCUUAACCCGGAACUGCCGUUGAUACUAUCUGUCUUGAAUAUAGAGGAGGUGAGCGGAAUAUGUCAUGUAGCGGUGAAAUGCUUAGAUAUGACAUAGAACAUCGAUUGCGAAGGCAGCUCGCUACACUAUUAUUGACACUGAGGCACGAAAGCGUGGGGAUCAAACAGG
Molecule: ribosomal RNA, 253 nt
Filed under: uncultured bacterium
Lineage: Bacteria
Description: partial 16S ribosomal RNA
Rfam family: Bacterial small subunit ribosomal RNA
Source: RNAcentral